RNAcentral lists this ribosomal RNA (369 nucleotides) under uncultured organism. RNAcentral describes it as "bacterial SSU rRNA". It matches the Rfam family "Bacterial small subunit ribosomal RNA", at positions 526 to 896 of the family's 1533-position model. The record is from RNAcentral.
CGUAGGUGGCAAGGCGUUGUCCGGAUUUAUUGGGUUUAAAGGGUGCGUAGGCGGUCUUGUAAGUCAGUGGUGAAAUACGGCAGCUUAACUGUCGAGGUGCCAUUGAUACUGCAGGACUUGAGUACGGACGAGGUAGGCGGAAUUGACGGUGUAGCGGUGAAAUGCUUAGAUAUCGUCAAGAACACCGAUAGCGAAGGCAGCUCACUAGACUGUAACUGACGCUGAUGCACGAAAGUGUGGGGAUCAAACAGGAUUAGAUACCCUGGUAGUCCACACUGUAAACGAUGAUUACUCGAUGUUGGCGAUACACAGCCAGCGUCUUAGCGAAAGCGAUAAGUAAUCCACCUGGGGAGUACGCCGGCAACGGUG